This 341-nucleotide long non-coding RNA is filed under the name Populus tremula. Its description in RNAcentral is "long non-coding RNA (PTRE_LNC000366)". Lineage: Eukaryota; Viridiplantae; Streptophyta; Magnoliopsida; Malpighiales; Salicaceae. The record is from RNAcentral.
UGGCUGUCCAGUUGAAGAUCAAAGAAGAAGUUCAGACUACCAGCCAAUGAGUGCGCAAGAGCUGAUGAUUUCGAAAUUACCUCAAGACUACCACCGUGUAACAAAACUAGCUGCGGUUAGGGAUUCACUUUCUCCAAGAGCUGCUACGAUCACUCAUUCUAACUACCAGCUCAUUCCUGCGGUUAGGGAAGGACGCAUCUAAGAGCUGCUAAAACAAAGGUAAGAAAGGCAAUUGGAUUGAAUAGUGUCAGGUUAUGAGCUCCUUCGUGAGCAGUAAGAGGGCAUUCUAACAAAGCAAAGAGAAGAGCCUAAAGUCAGUCAAGCAGUAACGGGGCGAAGGG